This 598-nucleotide long non-coding RNA is filed under the name Lynx canadensis (Canada lynx). Its description in RNAcentral is "lncRNA (ENSLCNG00005019965.1)". The record is from RNAcentral. Lineage: Eukaryota; Metazoa; Chordata; Mammalia; Carnivora; Felidae.
UGGGCCGGCUGGGCGGGCCCCGGUGAGCCCUGCACGUCGGGCCUGGCGCUGGGUAGCAGCCGUCGGCUUAGCGCGCCUUUGUCUGCCCCGCCGCGCGUGAAGAUCCCAAGCGUACCGCCAGGCCGAACCUUGGAGCGGAACAAAAGCCCGAAGCGAAGCGGCGAAGCGACCCCAAGCUUGCUAAGUCGCUUGCCCCGAGCGGCGGGGACCGGCCCGCAGGGGUGGGAAGCAGCGGGUGUUUCUCGUCCGCGCGGGUUCAGCUAAGGCGCCGAGGGACGACGGCGACCGUGGGAGGGGGACAAUCCCCGAUUCUCUUCACCGUGCAGUGACGGCGGACUUGGUUAGGUUGCAAACAGCGGUGCGGAAUCGUUUGCCUACUUUGAGCUUUGGCGCAGAUCCCGGUGUUCCUGGGGCCAGCAGGCGUCCUGGUGCUUUAUACUCACUCCCAGGAAUCCGCAGAGCUCUGACAGUUGGCCCUCGUACCCUCGAGAGGUCUCGGGACUUGCACAAAGACUUGGAACCGACUGACUUUGUGGUCUGGGCUCCACAUCAGGAAACGGACAGACUUGGGCCCGGUUGGUAUUGCAAUUGUCUGUGA